This 253-nucleotide ribosomal RNA is filed under the name uncultured bacterium. RNAcentral describes it as "partial 16S ribosomal RNA". It matches the Rfam family "Bacterial small subunit ribosomal RNA", at positions 524 to 776 of the family's 1533-position model. The record is from RNAcentral.
UACGGGGGGGGCAAGCGUUGUUCGGAAUUACUGGGCGUAAAGGGCUCGUAGGUGGCCAACUAAGUCAGACGUGAAAUCCCUCGGCUUAACCGGGGAACUGCGUCUGAUACUGGAUGGCUAGAGUUUGGGAGAGGGAUGCGGAAUUCCAGGUGUAGCAGUGAAAUGCGUAGAGAUGUGGAGGAAUACCGAUGGCGAAGGCAGCCUCCUGGGCCAACACUGACGCUCAUGCACGAAAGCGUGGGGAGCAAACAGG